UUUGUCUGGUCCGCAGCUGAGUUAUGUUCUCCCAAAGACCUCUGUGAUGAUGGAAGUCGCAUAUCAUCCCUGGUUUUCUCUCCAUUGAUAGUAGCAGCAGAUUUGGUCGACUUGAAAUUAAAUGAUGCAGUACUUGACCUGAUGUGCUGCAUGUAUAUCUCCGGUGCUGGCUUGCAUGUUCUUUGAUAUCAGGUGAGUGCUGCAUGUAAAUUGUUCUUUCUUAUUUCAGUUCCAUGUGUGUUUUGGGUCAUUCCUAAACUGCCAAUCCUAACCUUGGUAUUCCUCUUAUGCUGUAGUGGAUUUAUACAACUGUAUGAUGAUUAUCUGCUUUAAAAAAUACUCCUGGGAAGAUAAUCAGUUAGGGUCCAUGUUCUGAAGCUAGAAUAAUUGUGCACUAUUCUUCAGUAUGAUAAUCCUCCUGGGAAGAUAAUCUACUGCUCCCAGUACUAAACAUUUGUUCUGAAGCUUCUGACUGAACAUUUGUUUCAGUAGCUGAGACUGAACAUUUGUUUCAGUAGAUUAGACUGAACAUUGGUUACUCUGAUUAAUCCAAGUUACUCCAAUUAAUCCAAAUUACAGUCACUAUACAGGAUAGACAAUUCAGUUUACACGCUCAUCAAAUUACAGAACAAACAUCCAAUUAAUCCAACUGGAUGAUCCACCAGUGCAAAAUUUGAAAUGAACUAAGCUGAGGACAUGCUUUUCCGGACGGAGGGAGUACUGUAUUAACUCCAGGGAUGAUGCUAUACAUGUUUAACUCAGUUUUAGUCAUAACUUUCACCAGUAAGUUCUAAUUUGUUUCAAACUGAGCAGGUUUUGCAACAGAAGUUCCAUUUUGAAUUUCCCAUCUGUUGCAGGUUUUGUUACAGAAGUUGACGGAGGUUUGGAAGAUCUUCAAGGUGCUGAAGAUUUGGAAGACCUACGAUUAAGUUGGUGCAGUGAUCAUAUAAUAUGCUUUGUUUGUUGAACCUGGACACUUGCUCUGCUCAUUUUGCUGGUUAUGCCACUAUAUGCUCAUUUUGGUUGUGUGGCACCCUCAGAAAGAUAUGUUCUUUCUCCUUUUGUGGCACAAUUAACAUAUAUGUACUAUACCUUUUGUGACAG
This 1104-nucleotide long non-coding RNA is filed under the name Triticum aestivum (bread wheat). RNAcentral's name for it is "long non-coding RNA (TAES_LNC023841)". Lineage: Eukaryota; Viridiplantae; Streptophyta; Magnoliopsida; Poales; Poaceae. The record is from RNAcentral.